This 102-nucleotide small nuclear RNA is filed under the name Solanum tuberosum (potato). The record is from RNAcentral. Lineage: Eukaryota; Viridiplantae; Streptophyta; Magnoliopsida; Solanales; Solanaceae.
GUCCCUUUGGGGACAUCCGAUAAAAUUAGAACGAUACAAGGAGAUUAAUAUGACCCUUACGCAAGAAUGACACGCACAAAUCAAGAAACGAUUUAAAUAUAA